AGAGAUGUAGCUGAAUGGUAGAGCAUCUGCUUUGUAUGCAAAAGGUUCCAGGGUUCAACCCCUGGCUUGCCCA
Molecule: non-coding RNA, 73 nt
Organism: Podarcis lilfordi (Lilford's wall lizard)
Lineage: Eukaryota; Metazoa; Chordata; Lepidosauria; Squamata; Lacertidae
Source: the annotation of a GenBank genome assembly